UACAGAGGGUGCAAGCGUUGUUCGGAAUUAUUGGGCGUAAAGCGCGUGUAGGCGGCUUUGUAAGUCGAAUGUGAAAGCCCUCGGCUUAACCGAGGAAGUGCAUUCGAAACUGCGAGGCUAGAGUACGGUAGGGGUAGCGGGAAUUCCCAGUGUAGCGGUGAAAUGCGUAGAUAUUGGGAAGAACACCAGCGGCGAAAGCGCGCUACUGGGCUGUAACUGACACUGAGGGACGAAAGCCAGGGGAGCGAAUGGG
Molecule: ribosomal RNA, 253 nt
Filed under: uncultured prokaryote
Description: partial 16S ribosomal RNA
Rfam family: Bacterial small subunit ribosomal RNA
Source: RNAcentral